Molecule: ribosomal RNA, 576 nt
Filed under: Triticum aestivum (bread wheat)
Lineage: Eukaryota; Viridiplantae; Streptophyta; Magnoliopsida; Poales; Poaceae
Description: partial small subunit ribosomal RNA
Source: RNAcentral
AUGCCGAAGAGCUCGAACAUCUCCGGGUGCUCCACCGGGUACUGCACCAUCUCCUGGAGCUCCCGCUUGACGUCCUCCAGGCCGCCCACGUCCUCCCACGACACCUUGGGGACCUCCACCAGCCCCGUCUCCCGCAGCGCCGACGGCUUGGUCACCUCCUUGGCGUGCACCAGGUCGUCCAUGAUCACCGACAUGGAGUUGAGCACCUCCACGUCGAUGGUGUCCGCCUCGAGGUCGAUGACGUCCAUCUUCUGGCGGAUGCACUGGAAGGCCGCCUCGGAGCAGAGCGCGGCGAGGUCGGCGCCGACGAAGCCGUGCGUGUCCUUGCCGAUGCGCUCCAGGUCGACCUCGCCGUGCGUCUUCUCGCGGUUGGGCGCGAUGGCGUCGAUCUCGUCCAUGAAGAUGAUGGACGGCGCCCGGGCCUCGGCCUGGGCGAACACCUCGCGCAGGUUGUCCUCGCUCUGGCCGGCCAUCAUGGACAUGAUCUCCGGCCCGUUGACGACCACGAAGUUGGCGCCCGACUCGGCCGCGAUGGCGCGCGCCAGCAGCGUCUUGCCGGUGCCGGGCGGGCCGUAG